This 497-nucleotide ribosomal RNA is filed under the name uncultured bacterium. RNAcentral's name for it is "partial 16S ribosomal RNA". It matches the Rfam family "Bacterial small subunit ribosomal RNA", at positions 28 to 507 of the family's 1533-position model. The record is from RNAcentral.
GAUGAACGCUGGCGGCGUGCCUAAUACAUGCAAGUCGAGCGAACAGACGAGGAGCUUGCUCCUUUGACGUUAGCGGCGGACGGGUGAGUAACACGUGGGUAACCUACCUAUAAGACUGGGAUAACUUCGGGAAACCGGAGCUAAUACCGGAUAAUAUUUCGAACCGCAUGGUUCGAUAGUGAAAGAUGGCUUUGCUAUCACUUAUAGAUGGACCUGCGCCGUAUUAGCUAGUUGGUAAGGUAACGGCUUACCAAGGCAACGAUACGCAGCCGACCUGAGAGGGUGAUCGGCCACACUGGAACUGAGACACGGUCCAGACUCCUACGGGAGGCAGCAGUAGGGAAUCUUCCGCAAUGGGCGAAAGCCUGACGGAGCAACGCCGCGUGAGUGAUGAAGGUCUUCGGAUCGUAAAACUCUGUUAUUAGGGAAGAACAAACGUGUAAGUAACUGUGCACGUCUUGACGGUACCUAAUCAGAAAGCCACGGCUAACUACGUG